AUGAAAUUCGGCCAAUACCCUCAUAAGUCCUGUUUGAUUUCAUCCCAGAAUUCUUUCACAAAAUCAAAGUUCACUCCAUCCGAUCCAGGGCUUUUGUCACCAUCGCAUUCCCAUCCUACUCUUCGAACUUCCAUUUCCAAAAAUUCUCACACUAGACGUGCGCAACCAUCGCAAGCAAGGCAUAAUUCAGUAGACCAAAACAUCGUUAAAGUCGUGUUCUUAUGUAACAGGGUAUCCAUGUGA
Vicia faba (fava bean) is the source of this 243-nucleotide non-coding RNA. The record is from the annotation of a GenBank genome assembly. NCBI's taxonomy places the organism in Eukaryota, Viridiplantae, Streptophyta, Magnoliopsida, Fabales, Fabaceae.